Sorex araneus (European shrew) is the source of this 1146-nucleotide long non-coding RNA. RefSeq lists it as uncharacterized. The record is from RefSeq and is a predicted model, not a curated record. Lineage: Eukaryota; Metazoa; Chordata; Mammalia; Eulipotyphla; Soricidae. The transcript has 4 exons.
UCAGUACAAGCUGGCUGAUGAGAAAGACAGACGCACAGCACAAAAGCAUUUAUAGGUUCAGGGCAAUGAGGGGUGCAGCUCCUGCUGACUCCCCUGGGCUGGCAGCCUUCCACCUGCUGGAGGCGCCACAGCCCACCACCAAGCUGCUCCCUGCAAACUAGCUUUAAGCCUGUGUCUCUGCUGAAAGGUGUAUUUUAGCCAAACUAGAGUAACAGGAAGGCUGCCAUUGUUAGGACUGAUUAUUCACAGUUGAUUCACCUUCCAUUGAAUCUCGCUCUCCCUUGGGAGUUGAAAGGUUAAAAAAGAAGGGAAGGAGGGAGAGACAAAAAGGAGGAACUCCCUCUUGUGCCUGCUUCUAAUGCUAGCCCUCAACAGGGUUGAGAAAUCUUUUAUCCCAAGACCAGGAGUUAAGUUUUAACAUGAAAAGCACUGAAUUUCAGCAGUGAAGCACAAACAAUUUUCAUGACAAAAGUCUUUGCAUGUUCUGAAGCUCAGGUUUGUGUGGAGGGGGUGAGGGGGUCCUGGCUGUAUCCUACUCUGAGCUUCUUGGACUCUGAAGACGCUGGGAAGGAGGUGUGAUUCCAGGAAUCAAACACAAGGCCCUAAACCUGUGAGGCAAAUGUUCCACUGCUAAGCCACACCCCCAGCUGAGUCAAAGCAAUUUUAGAUGCACCAGAGAUCCUGACCGCAUGGUCUGCCCAAGAGGCUGACAGAUGGCAACAGAGAAGGAGACAGAAUUCAACAUGCCAGGAAGCCCUCCCGGUGAAGAAGGCUGAGCGCAGGCAUAUUCUCUGAGCUUCUGGAGAAAGUCACAGUGGGGGGAUGAAGCUUCUGAUUUUGGCACAGCGGUGCCAGUUCCCUUCAAAGGACAGCUCAGCACUGAUCUAAAGGAAGGCCUGACUUGAAGAGGGAGCUAAAAAUACCAUCUUCUUCUCUCUCCUUGAAGGAAAUCACAUUCCUCCUGUAAUGUCUUCACUUCAGUCCUGAUUUUUGGAAAACAUAAAGAGAGCUAAAUAAAAGAGAUCAGCCUAAUUAGCACACAUUUGAAUCUAAAAUGUUGCAAAUAAAUAUAUUUAGAAAGCCAAUGUAGCUAAAGUGUCUAAUUUAGAAGCAGAAGUUUGGAAACAGAAGUGAUUCAAAGACACU